UGUUAAUCGCGGAAAACGACUAAUGGAAGAGAGAGAGAGAGAGAGAGAGAGGGAGAGAGAGAGAGAGUAUAAUGGGGGUGAGUGAGAGGACAACGCACUACCAAAUUCCGAACAGGAGCCCAGACCUUCGGAUACACUUCCUAGGUUCCUCCAUCACCAUCUGCAUAUCGGUUCGCUCUCCUGAACGAACUCGGCGGCCGAGGAUGGAUUCCCUUCUCUUGCGGCACUUCUCCUCCCCUCCUCCUCGUCUCUCCCUUUCUCCUUCGCGCCCAGGUGGUUGUGUGCCAAGUCAGCACUUAAUCAGCAAAGUGUGCAAGAUUACGAUUAGAUGCAAUGUUGGAGGGUGUAAAUGGGAUCCUUCAAACUUCAGUUUAGGACAAAUUAAGAGGAAGUUUGUGCACACUAGAAAUGCUGAAUCAAGUUAUGUAAAUGCUACAUCAGAAUCAUUGGAAUCUCAACCUGAAGCUUUUAACUACACAAAUUGGUGGAAGUCAUCAAUAGCUUCAUUAGAUGCCUUCUACAGAUUUUCUCGGCCUCACACAGUCAUUGGAACAGUAAUGAGCAUAAUAUCAGUUUCUUUACUGGCAGUUGAAAGCUUAUCUGAUAUCUCCCCGCUGUUUUUAACUGGAUUGUUCCAAGCUGUUAUUGCUGCAUUAUUCAUGAAUAUCUAUAUUGUUGGGCUUAAUCAGGUUUUUGACAUAGAAAUAGACAAGGUUAAUAAGCCAUAUCUGCCUUUAGCAUCUGGGGAGUACUCGUUCAGAACUGGAGUUGCAAUAGUUUCCAUUUUUGCUGUCUUGAGCUUUGGUGUUUCAUGGGCUGUUGGUUCUGUGCCAUUAUGGUGGGCUAUUUCCAUCAGCUUUAUCCUUGGAACAGCAUAUUCAACCAAUCUGCCAUGUUUAAGAUGGAAGAGAUCUGCUGUUGUUGCAGCACUCUGUAUUCUGGUGGUGCGUGCUGUGAUUGUUCAGCUUGCAUUUUUCUUGCAUAUGCAGACAUUUGUCUUCCAAAGACCAGUCUAUUUCUCCAGACCUUUGGUAUUCGCGACUGCAUUCAUGAGUUUCUUCUCUAUUGUGAUUGCACUAUUUAAGGAUAUCCCUGAUAUUGAAGGAGACCGUAUCUUUGGUAUUCGGUCCUUCAGUGUUCGCCUAGGUCAAAAACGGGUCUUUUGGAUCUGUGUCUACCUUCUUGAGAUGGCUUAUGGUGUUGCAAUGGCAGUUGGAAUCACUUCAUCCUGCAAUUGGAGCAAGAUUGUGACUGUAUGCAGACAACUUCUCUGCAAUUUGCUUGGUCUUGGGCAACGCCGUACUUGCAUUGACUCUCUGGAAUCGUGCUAAAUCUGUCAACCUAAUGAGCAAACCGGCAAUUACAUCUUUUUACAUGUUUAUAUGGCAGCUUUUCUACGCGGAGUACUUGCUCAUUCCACUUGUGAGAUGACUUUUGGUCCAAAUUUGCUGAUCAAGCUGCUUUUCUUGACUGAAGUGAACGGAGAAAUAAGAUAGUACUAAAGUGAUAGCCCAGGUCGUCUCUCUCUUUCCUAGAACUAGUCUCGCAUUUCAUUAUCUAAUAUAUUAUCCACUAAAGUUUCUUUGAAGAAAGUCCCAAGAUUAUGUAUGUUGUACAUACGCUCUGUGCUGGCUGUUAAUAGAUUUGUAUUGUAACAAGCUUUUUUAUGUGAAAAAAGGAAAACCUCUAUGAAAA
RNA transcript from Zingiber officinale, 1695 nucleotides. It is a transcript of the gene named probable homogentisate phytyltransferase 1, chloroplastic, with no coding region annotated. The record is from RefSeq and is a predicted model, not a curated record. NCBI's taxonomy places the organism in Eukaryota, Viridiplantae, Streptophyta, Magnoliopsida, Zingiberales, Zingiberaceae. The transcript has 12 exons.